GCUUAACACAUGCAAGUCGAGCGCCCCGCAAGGGGAGCGGCAGACGGGUGAGUAACGCGUGGGAAUCUACCUUUUGCUACGGAAUAACGCAGGGAAACUUGUGCUAAUACCGUAUGUGUCCUUCGGGAGAAAGAUUAUCGGCAAGAGAUGAGCCCGCGUUGGAUUAGCUAGUUGGUGGGGUAAAGGCCUACCAAGGCGACGAUCCAUAGCUGGUCUGAGAGGAUGAUCAGCCACAUUGGGACUGAGACACGGCCCAAACUCCUACGGGAGGCAGCAGUGGGGAAUAUUGGACAAUGGGCGCAAGCCUGAUCCAGCCAUGCCGCGUGAGUGAUGAAGGCCCUAGGGUUGUAAAGCUCUUUCACCGGAGAAGAUAAUGACGGUAUCCGGAGAAGAAGCCCCGGCUAACUUCGUGCCAGCAGCCGCGGUAA
Molecule: ribosomal RNA, 428 nt
Filed under: uncultured Hyphomicrobiales bacterium
Lineage: Bacteria; Pseudomonadati; Pseudomonadota; Alphaproteobacteria; Hyphomicrobiales
Description: bacterial SSU rRNA
Rfam family: Bacterial small subunit ribosomal RNA
Source: RNAcentral